AUAUGGUCAGUCAAAUAGAGUUCAACAAGUCAUCAGUAUCCUUCCCUUUUCUCUUAAUAAGAUGACUACAAGUUCAUACAUUUGUACUCUUCAGUUAGGCAACAACAAGAGCAGGCAGACUAACAAGUUAAAACAGAUAGCUUAAUUUGUCAAACAAGAUAGAUUUGCAGGAGUCGCCGUGACAUGCACAUGAGCAGAUAUAUGCAAAA
RNAcentral lists this long non-coding RNA (209 nucleotides) under Hordeum vulgare. RNAcentral's name for it is "long non-coding RNA (HVUL_LNC003130)". Lineage: Eukaryota; Viridiplantae; Streptophyta; Magnoliopsida; Poales; Poaceae. The record is from RNAcentral.